Callithrix jacchus (white-tufted-ear marmoset) is the source of this 140-nucleotide non-coding RNA. NCBI's taxonomy places the organism in Eukaryota, Metazoa, Chordata, Mammalia, Primates, Cebidae. The record is from Rfam.
UGGCUCAGUUUCCUGGGGGGUGGGCCCAGCCUACUCUACCUCCCCUCAGCUGAGCCUAUAGUAGAGGGGCCAGGCAUCCUCCCCCAUGGGAGAGGCAUUUGAGUAAGGAGCCUUGCCUCUGGUGUCCUAGCUGCACAUUU